GACGAACGCUGGCGGCGUGCUUAACACAUGCAAGUCGAACGGAAAGGCCCUGCUUGCAGGGUACUCGAGUGGCGAACGGGUGAGUAACACGUGGGUGAUCUGCCCUGCACUUCGGGAUAAGCCUGGGAAACUGGGUCUAAUACCGGAUAGGAGCCAUUUUUAGUGUGAUGGUUGGAAAGUUUUUUCGGUGUAGGAUGAGCUCGCGGCCUAUCAGCCUGUUGGUGGGGUAAUGGCCUACCAAGGCGGCGACGGGUAGCCGGCCUGAGAGGGUGGACGGCCACAUUGGGACUGAGAUACGGCCCAGACUCCUACGGGAGGCAGCAGUGGGGAAUAUUGCACAAUGGGCGCAAGCCUGAUGCAGCGACGCCGCGUGGGGGAUGACGGCCUUCGGGUUGUAAACUCCUUUCGCUAGGGACGAAGCUUUUUGUGACGGUACCUAGAGAAGAAGCACCGGCUAACUACGUG
This 465-nucleotide ribosomal RNA is filed under the name uncultured bacterium. RNAcentral's name for it is "partial 16S ribosomal RNA". It matches the Rfam family "Bacterial small subunit ribosomal RNA", at positions 28 to 507 of the family's 1533-position model. The record is from RNAcentral.